Molecule: ribosomal RNA, 465 nt
Filed under: uncultured bacterium
Lineage: Bacteria
Description: partial 16S ribosomal RNA
Rfam family: Bacterial small subunit ribosomal RNA
Source: RNAcentral
GACGAACGCUGGCGGCGUGCUUAACACAUGCAAGUCGAACGGAAAGGCCCUGCUUGCAGGGUACUCGAGUGGCGAACGGGUGAGUAACACGUGGGUUAUCUGCCCUGCACUUCGGGAUAAGCCUGGGAAACUGGGUCUAAUACCGGAUAGGAGCCAUUUUUAGUGUGAUGGUUGGAAAGUUUUUUCGGUGUAGGAUGAGCUCGCGGCCUAUCAGCUUGUUGGUGGGGUAAUGGCCUACCAAGGCGGCGACGGGUAGCCGGCCUGAGAGGGUGGACAGCCACAUUGGGACUGAGAUACGGCCCAGACUCCUACGGGAGGCAGCAGUGGGGAAUAUUGCACAAGGGGCGCAAGCCUGAUGCAGCGACGCCGCGUGGGGGAUAACGGCCUUCGGGUUGUAAACUCCUUUCGCUAGGGACGAAGCUUUUUGUGACGGUACCUAGAGAAGAAGCACCGGCUAACUACGUG